AUGCACUGGCUUCGCUGAUUUCUCCUUUCUGAAGAACUGUAAUGCCAUUAAUUUGGUGUUGCAGGGAAACAGGACUGUUACUUUGAAAAAAUUAGAGUGUUUAAAGCAGGCUAACGCUUGAAUACAUUAGCAUGGAAUAAUGAAAUAGGACGUUUGAUCCUAUUUUGUUGGUUUCUAGGAUUGACGUAAUGAUUAAUAGGGAUAGUUGGGGGCAUUAGUAUUCAAUUGUCAGAGGUGAAAUUCUUGGAUUUAUUGAAGACUAACUACUGCGAAAGCAUUUGCCAAGGAUGUUUUCAUUAAUCAAGAACGAAAGUUAGGGGAUCGAAGACGAUCAGAUACCGUCGUAGUCUUAACCAUAAACUAUGCCGACUAGGGAUCGGAUGAUGUUAAUUUUUUAAUGACUCAUUCGGCGCCUUACG
This 419-nucleotide ribosomal RNA is filed under the name uncultured Glomeromycotina. Its description in RNAcentral is "SSU rRNA". It matches the Rfam family "Eukaryotic small subunit ribosomal RNA", at positions 675 to 1092 of the family's 1831-position model. Lineage: Eukaryota; Fungi; Glomeromycota. The record is from RNAcentral.